GCCGGGGUGGCCGAGCUAGGUCCAAGGCGCGGGACUCGAGGUGAAUAGGUAAAUAACAAGACAUCCCGUCCCCGCAAGGGGGCCCGGGUUCAAAUCCCGGCCCCGGCA
This 108-nucleotide transfer RNA is filed under the name Vulcanisaeta sp. SCGC AB-777_J10. It matches the Rfam family "tRNA". Rfam says of the family: Transfer RNA (tRNA) molecules are approximately 80 nucleotides in length. Their secondary structure includes four short double-helical elements and three loops (D, anti-codon, and T loops). Lineage: Archaea; Thermoproteati; Thermoproteota; Thermoprotei; Thermoproteales; Thermoproteaceae. The record is from Rfam by way of RNAcentral.